Hydra vulgaris (swiftwater hydra) is the source of this 1624-nucleotide long non-coding RNA. RefSeq lists it as uncharacterized. Lineage: Eukaryota; Metazoa; Cnidaria; Hydrozoa; Anthoathecata; Hydridae. The record is from RefSeq and is a predicted model, not a curated record.
AAUAGUAAAAAUUAUAUAAAUGCAACUUUGAAAAUGCAAUAAACUUUAGCGAGGAUUGAUGUUGGACAUUAGCCUUGGAGAAUAAAACUGAUAUAGAAAAUUUAUAUCAGAUAUAUUAAAAUCUUUCAACACAUUUCACAACUCCUACUUCUAAAAUUAAAAGCUGAUAGAAUAAAUGACUUAAUCUACAAUUGUAUUUUGAUGUUACCUAAGAGAUCGGCAUUAGAGUAUCAUUGUUGGUGGUGCAUACUCAGAAUGGAUAAUACUGAUGCACCGUUAAACUGAAGGUGGUAAUAAAGUUUACAAAAUUUGGUCUGGCUGAAUUUUUCAAUGAAAAAACAAUAUGUGUGCUUUGAAUGUAAUCUGUUUUUCAUGGCGUAUUAAUGAAAGUUUGAUGUAUUGGCCAAAUCACUUGCAAGCAUCUUGCCUUUAAACUGCCAUACGUAAAGUCACGCUUUUAAAAGUAACUGAAAGCAGGUGAAAAUAAGAAUUUUUUUGUAAAUGUCUUAUUUACAAUAUUGAUUUUGUUUUAUUUACAGUAUUGUCUUUGUUUUUUAUCUAAACAGCUAUGUUUGACUCAAAUAUAGUAAAUGUUGAUUGUUUAGUAUGGUUUCAUCUCUUCUUUAUACUUUUUUUUGACAGUUAUGAGACUGCUUUAGAACGGAAUUGUCUGCGUUUCUAGCUUAAAAGGAUGCAGGUUACAAAAAAAGUGACACUGAGAGACAGAUUGUCUCUCAUUUUCUCAAAGAUUGAAGAGAUCUUUUGUGUUUUAGAGUUAAAUGAAUUCAUCAGAGCUUUGCUUGACUAUCUCUUUCAAUUUAUUGAAUUUAUUUGCCGGUUAUAAAUGAAAAAAGAUCUUUUAAACCUAGAAGAAGAAAUAUGGAACAAAGACACCUUAUGAAUCAAUGGUAUAUAUCAGUGAAUUGAUAUUAGUUAAUAGUUUAUGGAAACAGUACCAUGUACUAUUAAAGUUUCUUAUUUUUAAAAUAUAUGAUACAUUUAUAUGAAACAUACAAACAAAUGAUACAAUAUGAUACGUGAUUGGCUAUAAUUAUGUUGUAUAUCAGAAUGUUUUAUAUAAAUGCUUAUUACAUUUUAUUGUGAUUUUUAUCUUUUAUGCCCAGUUAGCAAUGUAUUUUGUGUAGCAAUGACUUCUAAUCUCAGAUAUCUUUGACAUCUGUAGGGUGUAUUCACCGCUACAGAUGUCAUAAUCUAUUUAUAACCAAUUGCUUUUACUCUUUCAUAAUGUCAUAUUUUAAUAAAUCACAUUAUGGAAAACCGUCUAAUACAUACACAUGAGGAACCAUUAUACUUUUAGUACAACCAAUUAUAUUACAUUUGUUUUCUUAUUUUAGAUGAACUUUAUUACUUCGGUUGGAGGAGACGAGAAACAACUUACAGCGGCAAUCUUAAUACAGCUAAUGGCCAAAGAAGUAUGUUUUUCAUACUCAGUGUAUGGAAUGAAACAAAAACAUCCUGCAUGGUCGUUAUAGAGUUACGUUUAGUCGUUUAUCGUUGUAUUUGUUUAUUUCGAAAUUGCUACUGACAAGGGUAUUAAAGAAAAAAUUGGCAGUUUUUUGGUGACGGCCAUUAUUAGAGAUUAUGGAAGAAAAAUAGAACCGUA